RNAcentral lists this ribosomal RNA (404 nucleotides) under uncultured prokaryote. Its description in RNAcentral is "bacterial SSU rRNA". It matches the Rfam family "Bacterial small subunit ribosomal RNA", at positions 355 to 776 of the family's 1533-position model. The record is from RNAcentral.
UGGGGAAUCUUGGACAAUGGGGGCAACCCUGAUCCAGCCAUGCCGCGUGGGUGAAGAAGGCCUUAGGGUUGUAAAGCCCUUUCAGUCGUGACGAUAAUGACGGUAGCCGGAGAAGAAGCCCCGGCUAACUCCGUGCCAGCAGCCGCGGUAAUACGGAGGGGGCUAGCGUUGUUCGGAAUCACUGGGCGUAAAGCGCGCGUAGGCGGACUGAUCAGUUGGGGGUGAAAGCCCAAGGCUCAACCUUGGAACUGCCCUCAAUACUACCAGUCUUGAGUCCGGGAGAGGUGAGUGGAAUUCCUAGUGUAGAGGUGAAAUUCGUAGAUAUUAGGAAGAACACCAGUGGCGAAGGCGGCUCACUGGCCCGGUACUGACGCUGAGGUGCGAAAGCGUGGGGAGCAAACAGG